This 368-nucleotide ribosomal RNA is filed under the name uncultured Nitrososphaerota archaeon. RNAcentral's name for it is "bacterial SSU rRNA". It matches the Rfam family "Archaeal small subunit ribosomal RNA", at positions 515 to 883 of the family's 1478-position model. The record is from RNAcentral. Lineage: Archaea; Thermoproteati; Nitrososphaerota.
GCAUCCGUAGCCGGCUGUUCAAGUUUCCGGUUAAAUCCACACGCUUAACGUAUGGGCUGCCGGAAAUACUGUUCAGCUAGGGAGUGGGAGAGGUGGACGGUACUCGGUAGGAAGGGGUAAAAUCCUUUGAUCUAUUGAUGACCACCUGUGGCGAAGGCGGUCCACCAGAACACGUUCGACGGUGAGGGAUGAAAGCUGGGGGAGCAAACCGGAUUAGAUACCCGGGUAGUCCCAGCUGUAAACGAUGCAGACUCGGUGAUGCAUUGGCUUGUGGCCAGUGCAGUGCCGCAGGGAAGCCGUUAAGUUUGCCGCCUGGGAAGUACGUACGCAAGUAUGAAACUUAAAGGAAUUGGCGGGGGAGCACAAGC